ACUGCCACACCCCCUGUCCCUUCCACGCGCCCGCCCGCCCGCUCUGUACCCCGCCUCUAAUUAAACGCCUCGCCUCAGCGCGAGGAGAGAAACGACGCUCCCGCGGGUUCGGAGUCGCUCGUGCCGGCGUCGGCGCGUGCCCCUCCCCAGAGCCGACCAAUCACGCGCCGGCGCAGAAGUGGGGCAGGGCGCGCGGGGUCGCGAGGUGCGCUCCCGCCGCGGGGACGUCCCCCUUGUUUUUCGCGCCGAAACGCCGCGUUGCGUGAAGGUCGUCGCCGGCCGCGUCCUUCCUCCAUCUGCCCCGCGCGCUGGAAAGGGAGUGGCGCGCGCAGGAUUCUCCGCGAUUUAAUUUGCCGCUUCGCGCCUCGGCGAGUCAUCCCGCGAGGCGGCCGGGCGCGCGCGCGUCCCGCCGUCCUUCGAGCGCGGACACAAGUAGGCCGCGCGCCUGCAUCGAGUCCUGGGAGCGCGUGUCGUGCGCGUCACCGGAAGUUGUGGAGCUGUUUGUCAAAUGAAGAGGCGUCUGUCCUGCCAGGGUCCCGUCCCAGGCGUUUGCGCCCGUCGGCCGUCCGCGGAGGGCACGAGGCGCCGGCACGGCUCAGGGGUCUCUCUGCAUCCGCUGCCAGGUCUAAGGUGAGGAAAGCAGCACCGGGUACAUUUCUUAUCGCAGCGCCAUGGCAACCGUGA
Long non-coding RNA from Scleropages formosus (Asian bonytongue), 684 nucleotides. Lineage: Eukaryota; Metazoa; Chordata; Actinopteri; Osteoglossiformes; Osteoglossidae. The record is from Ensembl.